RNAcentral lists this ribosomal RNA (1716 nucleotides) under Triticum aestivum (bread wheat). Its description in RNAcentral is "partial small subunit ribosomal RNA". The record is from RNAcentral. Lineage: Eukaryota; Viridiplantae; Streptophyta; Magnoliopsida; Poales; Poaceae.
AUGGAAGCACCUUACGACUAUCAGCUGGCCGUGGCUGAUUAUUAUUGGGAGGGGAGGCCGGCCGUGGAUCCAAAUGUAUGGGUUCCCGGCGUCCCUUUGGAGAUGACAGUUGCGCCAACUGCCAGCCAAAGUGGUCUGGUGGAUGGCUCUCCCGGACGGCCGCAGCUGAAGCUGAUUGAGGAGGAGAGUAUUGAUCAUCACUACGCGGUUGAAGUGUUCAAGCAAGCAGCACAAUCACUUCAGGAGGAACGUGACAAGAUGGAGACGAAGAUCCACAUGUUCCCUCCAAGCAUGGGGGAUCUGGCGGCCAAGUACGCCUUCCCCAAGGUGGUGGCCAUCGGCCCUUACCACCACGGCCGGACCCCGGCCCUCCGGCAGAUGGAGAGCACCAAGCACGUGGCCGCCUGGCACUUCAUCAACGACUCGGGCCGCUUGGUGGAGGAGGUGUACGGGGCGGUGUGCGCGGUGGCGGACGAGGCCCGCAGCCACUACGACGAGGACAAGGUGCGGGCUUUCGGCGACGACGACUUCAACCCUAUGAUGUUCUACGACGGCUGCUUCCUGCUGCAUUGGGUUGACGAGGCGGUGGAUCCGCUGCUGAAGGACGCUUUCAGCUCCAACUGCACCAGCAUCAGCUACGACAUCGCGCUGCUCGAGAACCAGCUCCCAUGGGUGGUGGUCCAAGAGCUGAUGCGCUUCAUGCCGACGCCCCCGGACCUGGUACGGUUCACCACGGAUUGGAAGGCCACUAUGCAGCCCACCGUACCGCUCCUAGACAACAGCCCUCUUGCAUGGGACGACAGCUACACGCCGCUGCAUCUUCUUGAGCUCCUGCGAUACUACAUCGUAGGGAGCACCACCGAGACGCCGGCCGAGCCCGACCUUCAUAAAAAUGCAGAGAAGAUAUCGAUUUCCGUCAGUGCCAUGGAGCUUGCGGAGAUCGGCAUCGAGAUCACGGCCACCAAGCCUACGGCAGAUCUGAAGGAAAUGGGCGUCAAUGAUAAGCCGCUCCUCACCGGCGAGCUUUUGCUGGCGCCACUGUCCCUGGACGAUGCAAACGCGAGCUUCCUCGUCAACAUGGCGGUUCUGGAGCUAUGCACGACCCCAGACUUUUCUGUAGAGGUCGAGGAGAAGUCUGCUGUGUGCUCCUACCUCUGCCUCCUGGGCAUGGUGACGGACAGCGAGGAGGACGUGCAGCAGCUGCGGAAGAAGGGUAUCUUGCUGGGAGGUGCAGGGCUGAGCAACAAGGACGCGCUGGAACUGCUCAACAGGGUGGAGAACCGGCUGCGACCCGGAACCCACUAUAUGAGGACCAUGGUGCUCAUCGAGAACUACAGGAAGAAGAGGCCGAGACGGAUCAAGUUUCACAAGUUCCAUUACAACUAUCGUAAAGCCAUCAUCUUGACGUUGUCCGGCAUUGCUGGACUUGCCAGCUUCCUCGGGGCGCUCAAGUCUCUCAACUCAAUUUUUGCGCUGCGGCACGGCUGGAUGCUACAAACGACGAUGAAAAAUGAUGUGACGGUAUUAAAAGGAAAAACAAUAAAUGCUACAACCAUUCUAACAGAAAUGCUACAACCGCCAAUGAAGAAUGUUGCAACCGAUGAUAUGACGUACUACAACCGAUGGGGGCGGCAUGCUACAACCGGCAAGACAAAUGUUGCAACCGGUAGGAAAAAUGUUGCAACCGAAGGCAUAAAAUGCUGCAUGGUCGACUGA